AGGGAUGUAGCUCAGUGGCACAGUACGUGCCUACCAAGCCUGAGGCCCUGAGUUCAAAUCCCAGUACCUCCU
This 72-nucleotide transfer RNA is filed under the name Heterocephalus glaber (naked mole-rat). It matches the Rfam family "tRNA". Rfam says of the family: Transfer RNA (tRNA) molecules are approximately 80 nucleotides in length. Their secondary structure includes four short double-helical elements and three loops (D, anti-codon, and T loops). The record is from Rfam by way of RNAcentral. Lineage: Eukaryota; Metazoa; Chordata; Mammalia; Rodentia; Bathyergidae.